This 246-nucleotide ribosomal RNA is filed under the name uncultured bacterium. RNAcentral's name for it is "partial 16S ribosomal RNA". It matches the Rfam family "Bacterial small subunit ribosomal RNA", at positions 85 to 334 of the family's 1533-position model. The record is from RNAcentral.
CUGGCGACGAGUGGCGGACGGGUGAGUAAUACUUAGGAAUCUGCCCAGUAGUGGGGGACAACUCGGGGAAACUCGAGCUAAUACCGCAUACGCCCUAAGGGGGAAAGCGGGGGAUCUUCGGACCUCGCGCUAUUGGAUGAGCCUAAGUCGGAUUAGCUUGUAGGUAGGGUAACGGCCUACCUAGGCAACGAUCCGUAGCUGGUCUGAGAGGACGAUCAGCCACACCGGGACUGAGACACGGCCCAG